GUAGGUGGCAAGCGUUGUCCGGAAUUAUUGGGCGUAAAGCGCGCGCAGGCGGUUCUUUAAGUCUGAUGUGAAAGCCCACGGCUCAACCGUGGAGGGUCAUUGGAAACUGGAGAACUUGAGUACAGAAGAGGAAAGCGGAAUUCCACGUGUAGCGGUGAAAUGCGUAGAGAUGUGGAGGAACACCAGUGGCGAAGGCGGCUUUCUGGUCUGUAACUGACGCUGAGGCGCGAAAGCGUGGGGAGCAAACAGGGAUUAGAUACCCUGGUAGUCCACGCCGUAAACGAUGAGUGCUAAGUGUUAGGGGGGUUUUCCGGCCCCCCUUAGUGCUGCAGCUAACGCAUUAAGCACUCCGCCUGGGGUAGUACGGCCGCAAGGCUG
This 378-nucleotide ribosomal RNA is filed under the name uncultured organism. RNAcentral describes it as "partial 16S ribosomal RNA". It matches the Rfam family "Bacterial small subunit ribosomal RNA", at positions 527 to 896 of the family's 1533-position model. The record is from RNAcentral.